This 475-nucleotide ribosomal RNA is filed under the name uncultured bacterium. Its description in RNAcentral is "bacterial SSU rRNA". It matches the Rfam family "Bacterial small subunit ribosomal RNA", at positions 28 to 514 of the family's 1533-position model. The record is from RNAcentral.
GAUGAACGCUAGCGGCAGGCUUAAUACAUGCAAGUCAAGGGGGUAGCAAUACAACCGGCGCACGGGUGAGUAACACGUACACAACAUACCAUAUACUGAGGUAUAGCUUCGGGAAACUGAAGGUAAUCCCUCAUAGUAUUGUGAAAGGGCAUCUUUUUACAAUUAAAGUUUCGACGGUAUAUGAUUGGUGUGCGUUUGAUUAGCUAGUUGGUAGGGUAACGGCCUACCAAGGCAACGAUCAAUAGCUGGCGUGAGAGCGCGACCAGCCACACUGGAACUGAGACACGGUCCAGACUCCUACGGGAGGCAGCAGUAGGGAAUAUUGGACAAUGGGCGAAAGCCUGAUCCAGCCAUGCCGCGUGAUAGAUGAAGGCCCUCUGGGUUGUAAAUAUCUUUUAUCUGGGAAGAAACACUUCUAUUCUUAGAAGCUUGACGGUACCAGAGGAAUAAGCACCGGCUAACUCCGUGCCAGCAG